CCCCUUUCUCCACACCAGCCAUUGCCUGUCAGCUGCACCAGAAAAGGGAGAGUUGGGGGAAAUUGAGUUUUGUCUUGGGUCCCCUUUACUUCUCCACUACAGCCUCGGAUUUGCCAGCAGCCUAGAAAGCCUAAAGCCUCUGGGAGGAGGGAAAGAAAGUGCUGGGGGGCAGAGCCGGACUUUGUGAACUUUCACUCGAGGCCUCUAACCCUCUGCCCCCACAGGUGUUAUUAACUUUCCUCUUUGAGUCGAGGGAGGUGAAGCUCCAACAGGAUUGACUGUGAACUCGGGGCUUGGAAUGGACCCUCUUAGAACUUCAUUCGCUCCUUGACUCGCUCUAUGGCCGCCCAAGGCUCCAAAGCUGUGAAAUUUGGCAGAAUAAUUAGGACUGAGAACCCGACCAAGCUGUUGUGAGGAGAUGGUGGGCGGGCCCAUCCCUAAGGCCAAGUGCUCUGGAAAGGCAAACACGGGAAAGGUGGAGAAACUAGAGGAUGGUGAAGGCACGCUUAUGAAAGGAUUCUGAAUCCCUGAUUACCCACGUGGAACAGAACUCUUCCUUGCCUCAUCUCACCAACCUUCACUGAAGUGUGAUGGAAGUUGUGGGUCUGUCUGCUGAUGGUCAUCAGUGAUUCUGCACAGAUGUCUCCUUCCCCACCUACUCUGUGGUAGGCAAAAUAAUGGCCCAAAGAUGUCCUAAUACCUGGAACCUGUGAAUAUGUUACUUUACAGGGCAAAAAGAAUUUUACUGCUGUGAUUAAGUUAAGGACUGACAGAUGGGGAGAUCAUCGUGGAUUACCAAAGUGGGCCCAAUGUAAUCGGAAGGGCCCUUAAAAUAUGGGAGAGGAAGACAGAGAGUCAGAGAAGGAGAUAUGGUGAUGGAAGAGAUGUUGGAGAGAUUCAGUUUCUAGCUUUGAAGACAGAAGACCAGGAGCCAAAAAAUGCAGGCAGCUUCUAGAAGCUGGAAUGGAUUCUCCCCUAGAGCCUUUAGAAGGAACACAGCCCUUCCAAACCCUUCAUUGUACCCCAGAAAGACCCAUAUUAGAUCUCUAUCCUACAAAUAAUAAAUGGAUAUUAUUUGU
Molecule: long non-coding RNA, 1079 nt
Filed under: Sus scrofa (pig)
Lineage: Eukaryota; Metazoa; Chordata; Mammalia; Artiodactyla; Suidae
Description: lncRNA (ENSSSCG00035004633.1)
Source: RNAcentral